CCUACGGGAGGCAGCAGUGGGGAAUAUUGCGCAAUGGGGGAAACCCUGACGCAGCAACGCCGCGUGCGGGAUGAAGGCCUUCGGGUUGUAAACCGCUUUCAGCAGGGAAGAUCCAAGACGGUACCUGCAGAAGAAGCCCCGGCUAACUACGUGCCAGCAGCCGCGGUAAUACGUAGGGGGCGAGCGUUAUCCGGAUUCAUUGGGCGUAAAGCGCGCGCAGGCGGGUUGCUAAGCGGGACCUCUAAUCUCAGGGCUCAACCUUGAGCCGGGUCCCGAACUGGCAGCCUCGGGUUCGGUAGGGGAGAUCGGAAUUCCCGGUGUAGCGGUGGAAUGCGCAGAUAUCGGGAAGAACACCGAUGGCGAAGGCAGAUCUCUGGGCCGCAACCGACGCUGAGGCGCGAAAGCUAGGGGAGCGAACAGGAUUAGAUACCCCAGUA
This 437-nucleotide ribosomal RNA is filed under the name uncultured bacterium. RNAcentral's name for it is "bacterial SSU rRNA". It matches the Rfam family "Bacterial small subunit ribosomal RNA", at positions 338 to 792 of the family's 1533-position model. The record is from RNAcentral.